AGUUAUAUAGUUUAUUUAAAAUAUUAAUUUUGUAAAUUAAUGAAAAAUUAUUUUUUAUAACUU
RNAcentral lists this transfer RNA (63 nucleotides) under Microgaster sp. SNS-2016. RNAcentral describes it as "tRNA-Thr". Lineage: Eukaryota; Metazoa; Arthropoda; Insecta; Hymenoptera; Braconidae. RNAcentral also lists the same sequence under 1 other name. The record is from RNAcentral.